Molecule: ribosomal RNA, 253 nt
Filed under: uncultured bacterium
Lineage: Bacteria
Description: partial 16S ribosomal RNA
Rfam family: Bacterial small subunit ribosomal RNA
Source: RNAcentral
GACGAACCGUACGACCGUUAUUCGGAAUCACUGGGCUUAAAGCGUGUGUAGGCGGACCCGUCAGCGUCUUGUGAAAUCCCCCGGCUCAACCGGGGAACGGCUGGGCAUACUGCGGGUCUUGAGACACCUAGGGGCGAGCGGAACAGGCGGUGGAGCGGUGAAAUGCGUAGAUAUCGCCUGGAACGCCGACGGUGAAAACAGCUCGCUGGGGGUGUUCUGACGCUGAGACACGAAAGCCAGGGGAGCGAACGGG